Molecule: long non-coding RNA, 1648 nt
Organism: Hyalella azteca
Lineage: Eukaryota; Metazoa; Arthropoda; Malacostraca; Amphipoda; Hyalellidae
Exons: 3
Source: RefSeq, a predicted model, not a curated record
GACUCGAGGCCGGGAUACAACCGGCCUCGACCUUCCCUGUUUACUGCCGCUCUGUGAAACAAAUUCGUUCCAUUAACACUGUGUCUUGUAUUAUUGUGCGAUAAUUGACUUUAGCGGGAUUAAAUGGAGUAGAAAUGAUUGCCAAAAGUAAUAUUACUGUUUAAUUGCAGUAUAAAAGUGGAAUUGAAUGGCUCUUGGCUUAUAUUUUCUACGUUUUACAAAAAGUGUUUUGUUCUAUAAGAUUUGCUUUCAUGGAUGAAUAUCUGCACCAAGUGAAUUACGGACGAAGAUGAAAUUCUUUCUGAUUUUCGUGGUUGUGAUGGUGGCGCUGGUGAGUGCAGCUCCCCAGCUCGUCACCACCAAGAGGAGGUUCCCUGGAGAGCGUCGGCUGGGGGCCACCAACUACGGCUUUUAUUCUUACGGCAAACGCGGAUACCAACAUAUUUAUAGAUCCUACAAUAGAAGAAGCCUUGACAUAAAGCCAGACACAAGUGACGUCAGAAACACGAUGAUCGGGAGGCAGAAGAUCAACAAAAGAAUGAGCAGAAUGAGGGACACCGGCAACAGGUUUACGAACAGAAGAAAUGUCAGAAGGAGAAAUGUCAGAAGGUGCCAAAUCCAUCGUGGUCGCUCAAGGUGUUUGGGAUUACAGAGAUUCAAAUAAAUGAUUGGCAAGUCGUACUAGCGAUUGAUGUGCGUUCUGUGACCAGGAGCAAUCAGAGCUGAAUUGAUUAGUUCUUUGGAUGUCCAAAGAUUAUUGUUGGACAAUGUAAAAUCGGCUUUUAAAUUCAUCAGUGGGCUACUUUUUUGUUUUUCUCUAAAUUGAACAUGAUUUACUAAAAUGUACAUAAAAAUUUGGUUGCACUAUGACACUAUAUGGAACAUUGGUUUUAUACACUCAUUCACUCCAUUUGUUAUGAACAUUUAGAACAUCUACACAUUCUGUGAGGUCUGCAAGACACACGGGUAUUAAAUAUUAACCAACUAUCUUGUGAAAUAAUCCCAGUUUACUCAUACAUUAAGGUUCGAUAUAUUAGCACUGAGCAUGAUCGAGUGCUCUAACAUAAAUUAGACGCUUAAUGUGUCAUCAAUGCCAACAUAAAUUUAAAUUCGCCCGACUUUUUUCCGAGUGGAUCCUGGUAGAGAAUAUAUAUAGCUCAACUGCAGCCAUUACUGGAGUAGAGACUGGACACGGAGGAGAAAUGUACAAGAAAAUUUUAGCAAGUAUUCAUAAAAACUAUAAAUACAUAUAUAUAUUUAUGGAGAGAAUUUUGUCCUUAGAUAAAGUAGGUUUCUUCUGCACAAAAUAAAUAAUGCGAUUCUUUUACCAUCAUACUAUAAAGUUUCUGAAGUGUACACGACAUUGCUAAAACAAAGGAUCCAUCUAAAGCCGAUGAAACGAAUUUGCAACCAUUGAACACCAAUGCAUUACUACAGCCAAUUGAUCAGACUAAGUUUAGACACGUUUCUUCAAUCUAGAUAUUUAUAUCUGCACAUCGUAUACGGGCUUGAUAUGCAUAGAAAUCAAGGGAUAUUGCGCAUUUAGUUAAAACAAUUACUUACUUACCAUUGGCGGAAAUGAUGAAUAGCAUUAACGAAUAUUACAUUUAAAUAUUAGCCUACUAUUUUUUGAGCAAUGCAUUUAUAU